AUGAAGAUAGAAGGAGAGACUACGAAAUGUAGCGCCGAAGGAGCAAGCCAAAGAGGUGAAUCUCUCAGGCAAAAGUACUUCUAUUGGACG
RNAcentral lists this non-coding RNA (90 nucleotides) under Tepidibacillus decaturensis. RNAcentral's name for it is "Glycine riboswitch aptamer". It matches the Rfam family "Glycine riboswitch aptamer". From Rfam's summary of the family: This family represents the bacterial glycine riboswitch. Glycine riboswitches usually consist of two metabolite-binding aptamers domains with similar structures in tandem. The aptamers cooperatively bind glycine to regulate the expression of downstream genes. RNAcentral also lists the same sequence under 2 other names. The record is from Rfam by way of RNAcentral. Lineage: Bacteria; Bacillati; Bacillota; Bacilli; Caryophanales; Bacillaceae.